This 236-nucleotide ribosomal RNA is filed under the name uncultured Eubacteriales bacterium. Its description in RNAcentral is "uncultured Clostridiales bacterium partial 16S ribosomal RNA". It matches the Rfam family "Bacterial small subunit ribosomal RNA", at positions 796 to 1041 of the family's 1533-position model. Lineage: Bacteria; Bacillati; Bacillota; Clostridia; Eubacteriales. The record is from RNAcentral.
CACGCUGUAAACGAUGAGUGCUAGGUGUCGGGGGUCAAACCUCGGUGCCGCCGUUAACACAUUAAGCACUCCGCCUGGGGAGUACGUUCGCAAGAAUGAAACUCAAAGGAAUUGACGGGGACCCGCACAAGCAGCGGAGCAUGUGGUUUAAUUCGAGGCUACGCGAAGAACCUUACCAGGGCUUGACAGGAAACUUAAGACCCUAGAGAUAGGGGGAUAAUAAGUGAAACAGGUGG